Molecule: unclassified non-coding RNA, 1498 nt
Filed under: Camponotus floridanus (Florida carpenter ant)
Lineage: Eukaryota; Metazoa; Arthropoda; Insecta; Hymenoptera; Formicidae
Description: histone PARylation factor 1, transcript variant X4
Source: RNAcentral
AAGACAGAAAGAAAGGUUGCGAAUUAAGUGUGAUUUAAAAAAGAAACUAUUUAUAUAUUUAUGUAAAUGGAGGAUAAUUAUAAUGAUAUAUAUUAAGGAAAGAGAGAUGUCGAAUUUAAAUAGAUCAGAUCCUACAGCCGGCGGAGAUGCACCCGUUGUAGAAAAGACCGAUUGUGUCGAUGAUGCAAUUUCGCUAUCAACUAUCGAGUUGAAAUGUUCCAAAGAUGAAACUACAACCGUGGAAGAAGUCGCAGUAUCGACCUUAAAUGUACAGGCCGAAUGUUUAGAAGCGACGAAUGACUCACUCGGCGAAGAGAUAGCUGAUCCGAAUAUUACAGAGAUCACACAUGUAGCUACAGAAGAUGCUGUGAUAUUUAUUGACGCGCAAGAAUCCGAAGCUAAAAGUUUAACUGCGAUUGCUCUUCAAAGUGAAGAAACGCCGAAAUCGAAAUCUGCCAAUGAGGAGAAGGCUGAUAAUUCAAAGCUUAGUGAGAGAGACGACAACGCAACGCGUAUAUCCAGUUUGGAAGCGAAAGUGCGGGUGAGAAAAUCCGUGGAGACCACAAACUAUCCUGAAAGAAACGAAUCAUCCCAACUCGAUAACGAAAAAAGAACGAAGGAGCGUGACGAUUAUCGAAAAAAAUUGGAAGAGACGGAAACGAAGCUGGCCGCGUUGCAAGUGUCUUAUGAGGCGAUAACGAAUCACGAUGAUGUCAAAGAUACCCUGCAACAAUCGGUGGAGCAAUUGCGCGGUCAGCUGGCGCAGACUGCGUUGAUGUACGAGGAGCGAAAUCGGGUGGCGACGAACCAGGAGAGUCAGAUUAACGCUCUGAACAAUCAAGUAACUUCGUUGAAGGAGGUGGUAUCGAUCACGCGGGACCUGCUGCAGAUCCGUAACAUGGAAGUGAAGCAACUGCAAGCUGAAGUUGACAAUAUGGAGAAGAAGAUUUCCGAGGAACGCGAACGACAUAACGUGAUGAUUAGUAAAAUGGAUGCAGCGAUGCGACUCAAUGCGGAUCUAAAGAAGGAAUACGAAACCCAGUUGUCCUUGUUUCAAAGUCUUCGUGAGAAAUACGGCGAGAAAAUUUCUUUGUUGUCUGCGGAGAAACGAGCUCUCGAAACAGCUACCUCUGCAUCUGAAUAAAGAUUCUUUUCUCAAUCUAUAAUGGAUUUAGCAUACAAAUUCCUUUUUCAUCAUAAUGUGUUGGAGUUAUUUUUAUAGAGAUAUCAAAGAUUUACUGUAUAAAACUUGCGCUUUGCAUUAAAAAUUGCAAAUUUGUAUAAAACCAUGCGUAUAAUGAUUGAUGAACAUUGAAAAAGCUCUAAAUUAAAUUUUUUUCCACAUAUCCUUAUAACAUUCAGAGUGAAAAAUCAUGCAAUUGAUAAAGCAAUUUAGACGAUAAAACUGAUGAGAUAAUUAAGAUAUUUGCUCAAAUUAUAAAAAUCAAUAUCGACAAUAUUUAUUUACUUACCGUUUAUGUCUUACAAUAAAUCCAUG